Molecule: non-coding RNA, 1062 nt
Filed under: Perkinsus marinus ATCC 50983
Lineage: Eukaryota; Perkinsozoa; Perkinsida; Perkinsidae
Description: Eukaryotic large subunit ribosomal RNA
Rfam family: Eukaryotic large subunit ribosomal RNA
Source: Rfam by way of RNAcentral
GGAGUGUGUAACAACUCACCUGCCGAAUCGACUAGCCCCGAAAAUGGAUAGCGCUGAAGCGAGUGACCGAUACCGGGCCAUUGUUGCAAGAUAAUUGGCAACAAUGAGUAGGAGGGCGUGGGGGUUGUGAAGAAGCUUGGACGUGAGUCUGAGUGAAACAGCUUCCAGUGCAGAUCUUGGUGGUAGUAGCAAGUAUUCAAUAAGAGAACAUUGAAGGCCGAAGUGGGGAAGGGUUCCAUGUGAACAGCACUUGGACAUGGGUUAGCCGAUCCUGAGAGACAGGUUAAAUUCCAUCGGAUUGGAGCUUUGGCUCUGUUUCUCGAAAGGGAAGCUGGUUAGUAUUCCAGCGCCGAGACGUGGAUAAUAUGUGGCAACACAAGUGAACUCGGACACGCCAUAGGGGACCCCAGGAAGCGUUGUCUUUUCUUUUUAACAGUUCGACUUACCCUGGAAUCAGAUCAUCUGGAGAUAGGGUUUUCGAACUGGAAUAGCACCUUGUCUAACAGGGUGUCUGGAGUGUUCUCGCUGGCCCUUGAAAAUCCGAGGGAUAGAUUUAUUCGCACUCUCGAUCGUACCCAUAACCGCAUCAGGUCUCCAAGGUUAGAAGCCUCUGGUCCGUAGGACAAAGUAGAUAAGGGAAGUCGGCAAAAUAGGUCCGUAACUUCGGGAAAAGGACUGGCUCUGAGGUUUGGUAUGUGGAACCUGGAUUAAUCGUUGGAGUCGAGCAGAGACUACUUGUUGCUCACGUGACUUGUGGACUCCUUGCUUGAUACCUUCAAUUGAUCCAGGCUGCUUCGGCGCUCUGCAUGCACUUAACAAACAGCUCAGAACUGGAGCGGACAAGGGAAUCCGACUGUUUAAUCAAAACAAAGCAUUGUGAUGGCCUCAAAAGUGUUGACACAAUGUGAUUUCUGCCCAGUGCUCUGAAUGUCAAAGUGAUGAAAUUCAAACAAGCGCGGGUAAACGGCGGGAGUAACUAUGACUCUCUUAAGUAGCCAAAUGCCUCGUCAUCUAACUAGUGACGCGCAUGAUGGAUUACGAGAUUCCCACUGUCCCUAUCUA